This 72-nucleotide transfer RNA is filed under the name Capra hircus (goat). It matches the Rfam family "tRNA". From Rfam's summary of the family: Transfer RNA (tRNA) molecules are approximately 80 nucleotides in length. Their secondary structure includes four short double-helical elements and three loops (D, anti-codon, and T loops). Lineage: Eukaryota; Metazoa; Chordata; Mammalia; Artiodactyla; Bovidae. The record is from Rfam by way of RNAcentral. RNAcentral also lists the same sequence under 1 other name.
UCCUUGGUGGUCCAGUGGCUAAGACUUUUCACUCCCAAUGCAGGGGCCCGGGUUUGAUUCCUGGUCAGGAAA